RNAcentral lists this ribosomal RNA (253 nucleotides) under uncultured bacterium. RNAcentral describes it as "partial 16S ribosomal RNA". It matches the Rfam family "Bacterial small subunit ribosomal RNA", at positions 524 to 776 of the family's 1533-position model. The record is from RNAcentral.
UACGAAGGGGGCUAGCGUUGCUCGGAAUCACUGGGCGUAAAGGGUGCGUAGGCGGGUCUUUAAGUCAGGGGGGAAAUCCUGGAGCUCAACUCCAGAACUGCCUUUGAUACUGAGGAUCUUGAGUUCGGGAGAGGUGAGUGGAACUGCGAGUGUAGAGGUGAAAUUCGUAGAUAUUCGCAAGAACACCAGUGGCGAAGGCGGCUCACUGGCCCGAUACUGACGCUGAGACGCGAAAGCGUGGGGAGCGAACAGG